RNAcentral lists this ribosomal RNA (495 nucleotides) under Dendrobaena hortensis. RNAcentral describes it as "partial 16S ribosomal RNA". It matches the Rfam family "Bacterial large subunit ribosomal RNA", at positions 1814 to 2606 of the family's 2925-position model. The record is from RNAcentral. Lineage: Eukaryota; Metazoa; Annelida; Clitellata; Crassiclitellata; Lumbricidae.
CAUUGCUUUUUGAACACAUAUAAAAAGUAAUUCCUGCCCAGUGACUAAGGUUCAACGGCCGCGGUAUCCUAACCGUGCAAAGGUAGCAUAAUCACUUGCCCAUUAAUUAUGGGCUAGAAUGAACGGAUCUACGAAAUAUAGUCUGUCUCUGUAAGAUAAAUAAAAAUUAAUAUUUAAUUGAAGAAUAUUAGAUAAAAUUGAAGGACAAGAAGACCCUAUAGAGCUUUAUCCCAAUGAUAAAUAAGUUUUCACUAAGAUUCGGUUGGGGCGACCAGGGAAUUUAAUAAUCAUCCCUAAAUAUAAGAUUAAUCAAUCUAAAUAAUGACCCUUAAUCAAGAUCAUAAAAACAAGCUACCUUAGGGAUAACAGGCUAAUCCUAUUUAAGAGUCCUUAUCUAUAGUAGGGUUUGGCACCUCGAUGUUGGCUUAGGGUAUCACUAUGGCGCAAAAGUCAUAUUAAGAUGGUUUGUUCAACCAAUAAUCCCCUACAUGAUCU